UUGAGGACGAUGGAGACAAGAGGGGGGGGAGAGAGAGAGAAGAGAGAAAAAGAGGAAGGGGGCAGAAAGGGUCUGCCUUUUAUUUAAACUGUGACGUAACUACUUCCAGGUGAAGGUGGGAGCUAACCAAAUGUAUGCUGGGAAUGUAUGGCCGUUGCCAUGGCAACAGAUGCACUGGUCCCUGUCAGCUGCGGGUGACCAGGUGACAUCACUGCUGGAGGGGAAAGUGGUUCCUGAUACCAACAUUGAAGGCCUUUUAAAAAUGGUCCUCUCUGUGUCGCUUGAGACCCUCACUACUCAAAGCGUGGUCCGUGGACCAGUAGACAUGGCUUUUAUGAAAGAUUGCUAGAAAUGCACAGAGCAUGCUGGGAAACUCUGCCUUACCAUUUUGAUACCAGCAGCAGCGCCCGGAGGCUCCUUAGAAAUACACCCACCUGGACCUACUGAAAACUCUGCAUCUCAACCUGGUACCCAGGUGAGAGAGAUACGGAAGUGAGAAGCUCUGUCCCAGCAGAUUCGAAGCCUCUGCUGGGGUGCGUGAGAAAAGACAGUGGGUACAAAGUUGGCUGAGGCAAGGUGCAGGAAGGAGUGAUGUACCAUGACCCUCUGAAGGAACGGCAUAGUCACAGACAGCACCAUCUACAUAACAUCUACUGAUCAGGUGUUGCAUGAUGUGCUGCGUGUCCAUUUCUUAAAUCUCAAGGGACUUAUUCUGCAAUCGUAAUGGAAGUUUUGCUUUUCCUAAGCAAACGGUAAGAACGUGACCGAUGAACAGCUGUAGCCACGAGCAAUGAUCGUCAACAAUUAAGAAGUACUUCAUCAGUGAAUAAGCUGUCCUUCGUGAGACAUGUUACAAGGCUUGCUCUGGGUGUGAGAAACAGCAUAGGGAUAACAUGUUCCUUUUCAAGACGGGCUCUAUUCACACCCUGUGGAAUAUGCCUUCGGAGAAUACACAAAGCAAGUCUUCCUAAGACCUCCUUCGGGACCUCUUCUGAAUCUCAACAUAGAGACACUUCCCUCUCCUCUUGUUAUUUAUUCUUUCCAACAAAUAUUUAUUAAAUGUCUGCCCAUG
Rattus norvegicus (Norway rat) is the source of this 1072-nucleotide non-coding RNA. The record is from RefSeq and is a predicted model, not a curated record. Lineage: Eukaryota; Metazoa; Chordata; Mammalia; Rodentia; Muridae.